UCUACGGGUGGCUGCAGUGGGGAAUAUUGGACAAUGGGCGAAAGCCUGAUCCAGCCAUGCCGCGUGUGUGAAGAAGGCCUUCGGGUUGUAAAGCACUUUCAGUGGGGAAGAAAGCCUUGGGGCUAAUACCCUCGAGGAAGGACAUCACCCACAGAAGAAGCACCGGCUAACUCCGUGCCAGCAGCCGCGGUAAUACGGAGGGUGCGAGCGUUAAUCGGAAUUACUGGGCGUAAAGCGCGCGUAGGCGGUCUGAUAAGCCGGUUGUGAAAGCCCCGGGCUCAACCUGGGAACGGCAUCCGGAACUGUCAGGCUAGAGUGCAGGAGAGGAAGGUAGAAUUCCCGGUGUAGCGGUGAAAUGCGUAGAGAUCGGGAGGAAUACCAGUGGCGAAGGCGGCCUUCUGGACUGACACUGACGCUGAGGUGCGAAAGCGUGGGUAGCAAACAGGAUUAGAUACCCUUGUAGUC
RNAcentral lists this ribosomal RNA (465 nucleotides) under Vreelandella stevensii. RNAcentral's name for it is "partial 16S ribosomal RNA". It matches the Rfam family "Bacterial small subunit ribosomal RNA", at positions 338 to 795 of the family's 1533-position model. Lineage: Bacteria; Pseudomonadati; Pseudomonadota; Gammaproteobacteria; Oceanospirillales; Halomonadaceae. The record is from RNAcentral.